GAGUUUGAAAAGUUUCAGCCACAUUUUCAAGUCUUUCAAUUACCAUGAAUGCACAUGCUAUAUAUCAAUAGUCAAUACCAUAUACAAGAUAGCUAGAGCAAAUACCGAACAUAAAGUACAGUUAAUUCUUUGAACCAAGGGAAAAUUUUCAUUUUUUUAAAAGGAGGGUGGAAAAAUUUGAAGAGGCACCACUGAGCAAGCUUCAGCAGGGGUUACGUGUUGGUGUUAAAGAGUUUCACACAAAAUAGGAGGGG
Molecule: non-coding RNA, 254 nt
Organism: Paramuricea clavata
Lineage: Eukaryota; Metazoa; Cnidaria; Anthozoa; Malacalcyonacea; Plexauridae
Source: the annotation of a GenBank genome assembly